This is a long non-coding RNA of Delphinapterus leucas (beluga whale), 1959 nucleotides long. NCBI's taxonomy places the organism in Eukaryota, Metazoa, Chordata, Mammalia, Artiodactyla, Monodontidae. The record is from Ensembl.
CAACCUUAUUGCGCCCCAUGGGCGACUUGGUGUAGCGCGGACCCCGGGGAUGACUUCCUAACCGCAGCACUGUCAGUGUAAACGUGCGGCAGGUGACCACACGUCAGCAUCCGCUCCCGUAGGGACAGUGCCAACACUUCCGAACUCGGGGUGUGUCAGAUGCCUGGUCCACCCGAAGUAGUUCUCUGUGCUCUAGGCGAGUGCCGCUGCUCUGCAGCACCAGGUAAGAGAGGCGUGGCGUCCUCCAGUGGGCGAGGCGCCAGGCGCGGCGCCUCCGGGCCGGGCGCGGCUUCCCGCUUCAAAUCCGGGAUGCCCGCCCUCGUCCAAUCAGCGGGCUCGUCCCUUCGCGCCGUCCAAUCCAAAGCUGGCUUGGAGUCCCCGCCCCUCGGUCCGUGUAGCGAACCGACGUAAACCCCAGGGGCGCACGGUACGGUCGGCCGCCGUGUGGGGACGCGCGCACGCGCACUGGCAGAGGCGCUGGACGCCGGACCUCUCUUUCGCGGACUUUCUGCCGGCCGGGCGCUCGCGGCCGGCGUCGCGGGCUCGACUUUGUUCGCUGAAGCAUGAGGUCCCUUUCGAGGCCGUCGCCUGGAGGACAGCUGUUUUCAUGACAGUGUUUUCACUCGCUGUUAUCAUUUUGAGGUCAUUCGACUGGAGUUUUUACUGCUCCAAGGUCAACUUUUUCUCCGGAUUCCAGUUUUUAGGGCAGUUUACGGUAAGUUUUGAAAACUGUUAUGCUAGAUGCCUACCUAAUGGUAAAGCGUAUCUUAGAACGUUGGGGAAGUUUGACUUUGGCUUUUUCCCACAGCUCAUACUUUUAAGUGUGUUCAGUUGUGCACGUAGGCUUCCAGUCGACAACUACAGCAGAUGAUAUUUUAUGUAUCCAGGCAUGAAAUUAAAGCAAUUAAAUAUCAGUAAACUCGAGCAGGAUGUUUUGAAGUUACUGCUUUAAGGACAUACCAAGAGGAAUCCCAAAGCUGGCUGCUUAGUUCAAGUGCAGUAAAAGGAAAGAUAAUAUUGUCCUCGUUUUAGAUGAGGAGGAGGGCUGGGUAAUGCAAUAGGGACGGAAGUUAGGGCAUCUUCCCUUCUAGGAAAACUUUAGGAAUGUGGCAUGUCCAUAGAUGGCUUAGAACAAGUGUAGUCCUUUCUGGAAAAGAGAGACUGGGCGGUAGAUUACAUCUGGAGGAAUCUUCCCCUGGAUUGUGUUACUAUUGCACCGACAGCAAAGCUCUAUUCCUGCACUUAGUACUGUAUCAUAGUGGGUAGGGAUUGUCAGCUUUCUGAGGGGAGCCACCUUAUUUAUUGUUGCUUCACACAGCCAGGCAGAGUGUCUUUCACCGUUUGUUUCUGAUAAUGAUUGUUGCAUGAAUGAUCUUUCCUUGAUAUCUGGAUUUUCUUAGAUUUGAUUCUUUCUAAGUGGAGAUAACCCUUAAAGAGAUGGUAUACAUUUUGAUGUGGUAUUAUAUAUUUGUAAGUGAAUGAGUAGCUUAGUAACUACAAGACUAGAUGUGAGGAGGCUACUUGGAAGACUUGCGUAGGAAUUUAUUUUAUUUUAUUUUUUAUUAAUUUAUUAUUUUUGCUGUGUUGGGUCUUCAUUUCUGUGCGUGGACUUUCUCUAGUUGUGGCAAGCAGGGGCCACUCUUCAUCGCGGUGCACGGGCCUCUCACUAUCGCAGCCUCUCUUGUUGCGGAGCACAAGCUCCAGAUGCGCCGGCUUAGUAGUUGUGGCUCACGGGCCUAGUUGUUCCGCGGCAUGUGGGAUCUUCCCAGACCAGGGCUCGAACCUGUGUCCCCUGCAUUGGCAGGCAGAUUCUUAACCACUGCGCCACCAGGGAAGCCCUAUUUCAUUUUUUAAAAAUAUUUAUUUAUUUAUAUAUUUAGCUUCACCGGGUCUUAGUUGCAGCAUGCGGGAUCUAGUUCCCUGACCAGGGAUCAAACCCAGGCCUCCUGCAUUUGGAGU